GAUGAACGCUGGCGGCGUGCUUAACACAUGCAAGUCGAACGAGUCGUGACGACGGAGUCCUUCCGCCGGAAUGCUUUGUUUCGAGUGGGGCGCGGGUGAGUAACGCGUGUAUAAUCUGCCUCAUACAGGGGUAUAACAUGGAAACACGACCUAAUAUCGCGCAACAGUUUAUGCCACCUCACAUUAGGGUGGUAAAAACUUCGGUGGGAUGAGAUGGACUCGCGUUGCAGUAGCCAGUCGGCGGGGUAAGGGACCACCAAAGCGACGCUCGAUAGCCGAGCUGAGAGGAUGACCGGCCACAUUGGGACUGAGACACGGCCCAAACUCCUACGGGAGGCAGCAGUGGGGAAUAUUGCACAAUGGGGGAAACCCUGAUGCAGCGACGCCGCGUGAGUGAAGAAGUAUUUCGGUAUGUAAAGCUCUAUCAGCAGGGAAGAAAAUGACGGUACCUGAGUAAGAAGCCCCGGCUAACUACGUG
RNAcentral lists this ribosomal RNA (478 nucleotides) under uncultured bacterium. RNAcentral's name for it is "partial 16S ribosomal RNA". It matches the Rfam family "Bacterial small subunit ribosomal RNA", at positions 28 to 507 of the family's 1533-position model. The record is from RNAcentral.